GACGAACGCUGGCGGCGUGCCUAAUACAUGCAAGUUGAGCGAUGAAGAUUGGUGCUUGCACCAAUUUGAAGAGCAGCGAACGGGUGAGUAACGCGUGGGGAAUCUGCCUUUGAGCGGGGGACAACAUUUGGAAACGAAUGCUAAUACCGCAUAACAACUUUAAACAUAAGUUUUAAGUUUGAAAGAUGCAAUUGCAUCACUCAAAGAUGAUCCCGCGUUGUAUUAGCUAGUUGGUGAGGUAAAGGCUCACCAAGGCGAUGAUACAUAGCCGACCUGAGAGGGUGAUCGGCCACAUUGGGACUGAGACACGGCCCAAACGCCUACGGGAGGCAGCAGUAGGGAAUCUUCGGCAAUGGACGAAAGUCUGACCGAGCAACGCCGCGUGAGUGAAGAAGGGUGUCGGAUCGUAAAACUCUGUUGGUAGAGAAGAACGUUGGUGAGAGUGGAAAGCUCAUCAAGUGACGGUAACUACCCAGAAAGGGACGGCUAACUACGUG
This 497-nucleotide ribosomal RNA is filed under the name uncultured bacterium. Its description in RNAcentral is "partial 16S ribosomal RNA". It matches the Rfam family "Bacterial small subunit ribosomal RNA", at positions 28 to 507 of the family's 1533-position model. The record is from RNAcentral.